UACGGAGGGGGCUAGCGUUUUUCGGAAUUACUGGGCGUAAAGCGCACGUAGGCGGACUGUUUAGUCAGGGGUGAAAUCCCGAGGCUCAACCUCGGAAUUGCCUCUGAUACUGGCAGUCUCGAGUCCGGAAGAGGUGAGUGGAAUUCCGAGUGUAGAGGUGAAAUUCGUAGAUAUUCGGAGGAACACCAGUGGCGAAGGCGGCUCACUGGUCCGGUACUGACGCUGAGGUGCGAAAGCGUGGGGAGCAAACAGG
Molecule: ribosomal RNA, 253 nt
Filed under: uncultured bacterium
Lineage: Bacteria
Description: partial 16S ribosomal RNA
Rfam family: Bacterial small subunit ribosomal RNA
Source: RNAcentral